CCCCACCCUGCCUUCCCGGAGACUCCUGCUCUUCCUCUGACAGGUGCCCAGAUGGGGCUAUGCCGGGGGGCCUGCGGGUGGCAGGGCUGGAGUGAAGAGCAUCUGUGGCUCAGACCC
RNAcentral lists this microRNA precursor (117 nucleotides) under Chlorocebus sabaeus (green monkey). Its description in RNAcentral is "miRNA (ENSCSAG00000024200.1)". Lineage: Eukaryota; Metazoa; Chordata; Mammalia; Primates; Cercopithecidae. The record is from RNAcentral.